ACAAAUGCGCAGUAUAAGGCUUAUUUAGUAUUAUGGUAGUUGGUUAUGUUAAAAGCUAACCAAGCCUUAGAUGCUUAGCAGGCUUUAACGAGUGAUCUGCCACAACGGGCUUGAAAUAGUGCCUGAACAUUUAUGGCAGCAGUAAAGAAUCUUGGGCAAUGCAUUCAAGUGUGACCCAGCAAGUCUCCGUGGAUGAUGAAGAUAUUAAAUUAUAUUGUAAAAUUCUAUCUUUUUAUAUUUAUAAUGAAAUAUAAAAAGGAAAGCACAGGCUAAAUUCGUGCCAGCAGCCGCGGUAAUACGGAUUGUGCAAGUCUUUGACCUCGUGACUAGGUGUAAAAGGCCACAUAGGAGGUUAUAUAAGUUAUUGAGUAAAUACAGGGUAUAAACCUUGGAAUCUCAAUAAAACUUUAUAACUAGAAUAUAAAAGGGGUUUAAGAUAUCUUCUAAGUAAAGGUGAAAUUUGUAGAAAUAGAAGGGG
Molecule: ribosomal RNA, 478 nt
Filed under: uncultured bacterium
Lineage: Bacteria
Description: bacterial SSU rRNA
Rfam family: Bacterial small subunit ribosomal RNA
Source: RNAcentral